GUGCCCUUGGUGUAACGGUAACACACAUCUCACUGCUCUUUUGAAUAAUCGAGAAGUUCCGGGUUCGACUCCCGGAGGGCGCC
Mycena metata is the source of this 83-nucleotide non-coding RNA. Lineage: Eukaryota; Fungi; Basidiomycota; Agaricomycetes; Agaricales; Mycenaceae. The record is from the annotation of a GenBank genome assembly.